UUAUGUUUUAUUCAUGCAUUUUUGAUUUGAUUUUAUUAAAAUAUAUAUAUAAGUUUUUUCUAGAUUAAUAAAUUUUAAAUAAAUAUUUUAUUAAUUUUUAGUUUAUAGUUUUGGUUUUUAUACUUAUGUAUUAAUUAUUUAUAUUAAUUUUAUUAUAACAAAAAUUGUGCCAGCAGUUGCGGUUAUACAAUUAUAAUAAUUAAAUUUUUUUGGUUUAUAUUAAAUUAUAUUAAUAUUGGUAUUUUUAUUUUUUUUUAGUGAAAUAUUAAUUUUGAUUAUAUUGUUUUAUAUUAUAAUAUAUGAAAGUUUUUUUUAAACUAGGAUUAGAUACCCUAUUAUUUUAACUGUAAAAUUUUAACUUAACCAUUAAUAGAUAUAAUCUUUAAAUUUAAAGAAUUUGGCGGUAAUUUAGCUUUUCAGAGGAACCUGUUCUAUAAUUGAUAAUCCACAAUGAAUUUUACUUUUAUUUGGCUUAUAUAUCUCUAUCAUUGAAUGUUUUUUUAAUUUAUUUUCGGAAUAGUUUUUAAACUAAAAUGUUAGGUCAAGGUUUAGUAAUAUAAAAGGAGAAAUGGGUUACUUUAUUAUUAUAUAAUGAUUUUUUUAUGGAAAUAAAUUUGAUUUUGGAUUUGAUAGUAAAUAUUCUUAGAAAAUAUUUUUGAUAUUAGCUCUAAAUUAUGUACAUAUCGCCCGUCGCUCUCAAUAUAUAUUGAGAUAAGUCGUAACAAAGUAGAUCUAUUGGAAAAUGGAUCUAGAUUGAU
This 758-nucleotide non-coding RNA is filed under the name Onomaus tenuis. The record is from RNAcentral. Lineage: Eukaryota; Metazoa; Arthropoda; Insecta; Hemiptera; Miridae.